RNAcentral lists this ribosomal RNA (1115 nucleotides) under Macrostomum gabriellae. RNAcentral's name for it is "partial large subunit ribosomal RNA". It matches the Rfam family "Eukaryotic large subunit ribosomal RNA", at positions 72 to 946 of the family's 3401-position model. Lineage: Eukaryota; Metazoa; Platyhelminthes; Macrostomidae. The record is from RNAcentral.
GGAUUCCCCUAGUAACGGCGAGUGAACGGGGAAAAGCCCAACACCGAAUCCCUCAGCGCAAGUUGACGGGAAAUGUGGUGUUAAGGUGGCCCUUCGUGCUGAAUCAGGUGUCUUAAGUCCACCUGAUUGUGGCUCAAGCCCAGAGAGGGUGUAAGGCCCGUAGAGGCACUUGAUUCAGUACCCGGGGUUUACCUACGAGUCGGCUUGUUUGGGAAUGCAGGCCAAAGCGGGUGGUAAACUCCAUCCAAGGCUAAAUACUGGCACGAGUCCGAUAGCGGACAAGUACCGUGAGGGAAAGUUGAAAAGAACUUUGAAGAGAGAGUUCAAUAGUACGUGAAACCGCUUAGAGGCAAACGGAUGGUGCUCAAAUUGGUGCAGGGGAUUCAGCUGUUGUAAUUUGUCGAGUGUGUGGUCGUGUAUAUAUAGAUCCUAUAAUCUGGGACUAGCGGCUGCUAUUCAUGUUGGCUAUUACACGGUGCACUUUCCCUGUUUUCACCUUCGCCACGACCGACGAAACUGGCCACCCACGGCUGGGGUAAGGUGGCAAGCUACUUCGGUAGUUUGUUUUAUAGACCCUGGCGUUGGAUAUUGUUUGGGCAGGACGUCGGAGUUCUAGCGGUGUCCGCUCGCACUCUGUGCGGGCUCGUAUGUCAGCUAGCUUGGCUGCGUCGAUGCCAGUACUGGUAACCAGUACUGGUGUUGGUUGUGGUCUUGUCUUCUAAUUGGCCUCUACGAGUUUUUGACACCUAUAGUCUGUGGUGUACUAGUGGGUAGACUAUCCGACCCGUCUUGAAACACGGACCAAGGAGUCUAACAUGUGCGCGAGUCAUGGGGACUCUACGAAACCCAAAGGCGUAGUGAAAGUAAAGGCUUGCUUCUCGCAGGCUUAGGUGAGAUCUCGUGCAUUAUGAUUGGCGAGCGCAUCACCGGCCCGUCCUAUCUGUCUCUGUCAGUGGGGCGGCGCAAGAGCGUACACGUUGGGACCCGAAAGAUGGUGAACUAUGCUUGCGCAGCUCGAAGUCAGUGGAAACACUGAUGGAGGAGCGCAGCGUUUCUGACGUGCAAAUCGAUCGUCAAACGUGAGUAUAGGGGCGAAAGACUAAUCGAACCAUCUA